RNAcentral lists this ribosomal RNA (490 nucleotides) under uncultured bacterium. Its description in RNAcentral is "partial 16S ribosomal RNA". It matches the Rfam family "Bacterial small subunit ribosomal RNA", at positions 30 to 507 of the family's 1533-position model. The record is from RNAcentral.
AUUGAACGCUGGCGGCAGGCCUAACACAUGCAAGUCGAACGGUAACAGGAAGAAGCUUGCUUCUUUGCUGACGAGUGGCGGACGGGUGAGUAAUGUCUGGGAAACUGCCUGAUGGAGGGGGAUAACUACUGGAAACGGUAGCUGAUACCGCAUAACGUCGCAAGACCAAAGAGGGGGACCUUCGGGCCUCUUGCCAUCGGAUGUGCCCAGAUGGGAUUAGCUAGUAGGUGGGGUAACGGCUCACCUAGGCGACGAUCCCUAGCUGGUCUGAGAGGAUGACCAGCCACACUGGAACUGAGACACGGUCCAGACUCCUACGGGAGGCAGCAGUGGGGAAUAUUGUACAAUGGGCGCAAGCCUGAUGCAGCCAUGCCGCGUGUAUGAAGAAGGCCUUCGGGUUGUAAAGUACUUUCAGCGGGGAGGAAGGGAGUAAAGUUAAUACCUUUACUCAUUGACGUUACCCGCAGAAGAAGCACCGGCUAACUCCGUG